This 450-nucleotide ribosomal RNA is filed under the name uncultured bacterium. RNAcentral describes it as "partial 16S ribosomal RNA". It matches the Rfam family "Bacterial small subunit ribosomal RNA", at positions 354 to 796 of the family's 1533-position model. The record is from RNAcentral.
GUGGGGAAUCUUCCGCAAUGGACGAAAGUCUGACGGAGCAACGCCGCGUGAGUGAUGAAGGUCUUCGGAUUGUAAAGCUCUGUUAAUCGGGACGAAAGAGCCUAGUGUGAAUAAUGCUAGGAAGUGACGGUACCGGAAUAGAAAGCCACGGCUAACUACGUGCCAGCAGCCGCGGUAAUACGUAGGUGGCAAGCGUUGUCCGGAAUUAUUGGGCGUAAAGCGCGCGCAGGCGGAUCUGCCAGUCUGUCUUAAAAGUUCGGGGCUUAACCCCGUGAUGGGAUGGAAACUACAGAUCUAGAGUAUCGGAGAGGAAAGUGGAAUUCCUAGUGUAGCGGUGAAAUGCGUAGAUAUUAGGAAGAACACCAGUGGCGAAGGCGACUUUCUGGACGAAAACUGACGCUGAGGCGCGAAAGCCAGGGGAGCGAACGGGAUUAGAAACCCGGGUAGACC